CCCGUUGAAAAUGAGGAUCUCAUUCUCUAUAUCUUAGGGGGACUUGGGCAUGAAUACAGCCCGUUCGUAACCUCUAUUACCACACGAGAUGCACAAGUUCGACU
Magnolia sinica is the source of this 104-nucleotide small nucleolar RNA. RefSeq annotates it as small nucleolar RNA Z247. The transcript has a single exon. Lineage: Eukaryota; Viridiplantae; Streptophyta; Magnoliopsida; Magnoliales; Magnoliaceae. The record is from RefSeq and is a predicted model, not a curated record.